GAUGAACGCUGGCGGCGUGCCUAAUACAUGCAAGUCGAGCGAACGGACGAGAAGCUUGCUUCUCUGAUGUUAGCGGCGGACGGGUGAGUAACACGUGGAUAACCUACCUAUAAGACUGGGAUAACUUCGGGAAACCGGAGCUAAUACCGGAUAAUAUUUUGAACCGCAUGGUUCAAAAGUGAAAGACGGUCUUGCUGUCACUUAUAGAUGGAUCCGCGCUGCAUUAGCUAGUUGGUAAGGUAACGGCUUACCAAGGCAACGAUGCAUAGCCGACCUGAGAGGGUGAUCGGCCACACUGGAACUGAGACACGGUCCAGACUCCUACGGGAGGCAGCAGUAGGGAAUCUUCCGCAAUGGGCGAAAGCCUGACGGAGCAACGCCGCGUGAGUGAUGAAGGUCUUCGGAUCGUAAAACUCUGUUAUUAGGGAAGAACAUAUGUGUAAGUAACUGUGCACAUCUUGACGGUACCUAAUCAGAAAGCCACGGCUAACUACGUGCCAGCAGCCGCGGUAAUACGUAGGUGGCAAGCGUUAUCCGGAAUUAUUGGGCGUAAAGCGCGCGUAGGCGGUUUUUUAAGUCUGAUGUGAAAGCCCACGGCUCAACCGUGGAGGGUCAUUGGAAACUGGAAAACUUGAGUGCAGAAGAGGAAAGUGGAAUUCCAUGUGUAGCGGUGAAAUGCGCAGAGAUAUGGAGGAACACCAGUGGCGAAGGCGACUUUCUGGUCUGUAACUGACGCUGAUGUGCGAAAGCGUGGGGAUCAAACAGGAUUAGAUACCCUGGUAGUCCACGCCGUAAACGAUGAGUGCUAAGUGUUAGGGGGUUUCCGCCCCUUAGUGCUGCAGCUAACGCAUUAAGCACUCCGCCUGGGGAGUACGACCGCAAGGUUGAAACUCAAAGGAAUUGACGGGGACCCGCACAAGCGGUGGAGCAUGUGGUUUAAUUCGAAGCAACGCGAAGAACCUUACCAAAUCUUGACAUCCUUUGACAACUCUAGAGAUAGAGCCUUCCCCUUCGGGGGGCAAAGUGACAGGUGGUGCAUGGUUGUCGUCAGCUCGUGUCGUGAGAUGUUGGGUUAAGUCCCGCAACGAGCGCAACCCUUAAGCUUAGUUGCCAUCAUUAAGUUGGGCACUCCAAGUUGACUGCCGGUGACAAACCGGAGGAAGGUGGGGAUGACGUCAAAUCAUCAUGCCCCUUAUGAUUUGGGCUACACACGUGCUACAAUGGACAAUACAAAGGGCAGCGAAACCGCGAGGUCAAGCAAAUCCCAUAAAGUUGUUCUCAGUUCGGAUUGUAGUCUGCAACUCGACUACAUGAAGCUGGAAUCGCUAGUAAUCGUAGAUCAGCAUGCUACGGUGAAUACGUUCCCGGGUCU
This 1372-nucleotide ribosomal RNA is filed under the name uncultured bacterium. RNAcentral describes it as "bacterial SSU rRNA". It matches the Rfam family "Bacterial small subunit ribosomal RNA", at positions 28 to 1381 of the family's 1533-position model. The record is from RNAcentral.